RNAcentral lists this long non-coding RNA (2079 nucleotides) under Trifolium pratense (red clover). Its description in RNAcentral is "long non-coding RNA (TPRA_LNC004800)". The record is from RNAcentral. Lineage: Eukaryota; Viridiplantae; Streptophyta; Magnoliopsida; Fabales; Fabaceae.
ACCAUUCAUUUUACAUUAUUUCACUACCCGAGAAACCAAAAAUCAGGAAGCCACACUCUUCUUCUCUCACGCCAACAACCUCCCACCAUGGCUAUGUCCAAAAAUUCAUCCUUUCCAUAAAUUGAAGCUUUGCCUGUAUCCGAUUCUCUCUUUCUCUACUAAAUCAUGAACCAAGCCAAACCAAUCUUAUGUUCUCUUUUCCUUGUAACCCUCCAUGGAUAAGAAAAUGCAUCUUUCAUGACAAAGUCUUGUAUUCUCAUAUUGGAGAUGGGUUGGACGAAAUUCAGAUAAAUUGGAGCCUAGAGAUGUGGAAAAAUCAAGGGUUAAGUCUUGUGUGAGUAAGAAUUAAGGUAUGGUUAAUGGUUUAUACUCUCCUCUUCUUUGUCUAAGAUUCAUUUCAAAAAUCCAAUCCUUAUAUCUACUCUUUUUCUGGUGCUGCAUGUUGUCUAAAAUGCUCAUGGGGGACUUGAGAUGUUGCCAAAAACAUAGAACAGAGGUCAUGCAGAUUUAAUUCUGCUGCUGCAUACAUUUUAUCUCUCUCUGCGAUCAUCUCGUGUAACUCAAGGUAAGCAGUUCAGGCCUAAAUCAUUACCCAUUGAUCAAUACUUUCCUAUUUCCCUGAAAAAGGUUUAUGAAUUCAUUUAUUCCCUUUGGUGCUUACAUGUGAGUAUUGAUGGUUGGAGAAAUAAGAAUUUGGAAAGGUUAAAGAAACACUGCUUGGGUUUUUGGAGAAUAUGAUUGUCAUCACUUGGUUUGGAAUGGCAGCAUCAAAGAGGAAAUUAUGCAAAAGAGCUUAAAGCUUGGAAUCUUCAUUCUUAAGUUCAUCAUUAACCAUUUCAGGUGGGUUCCCUUAGAAGCUCAACCUUUAGAUAGCAUAGCACUAUUAGUUGCCCAGUUAAAUAUGCAUGAUAAUACUAGAUUAGAUAUUAUGUUAGUUCCCCAUAUAAUGAUUUGUAUGAUAACAUAAGGUUAAGAUAAACUAGUGUAUGAGAGGAGUCUAAUCCCAAGGCUUCCUCCAUUUUAAUCACGUAAUAUAUGUUGCAAUAUUUAUGGCUAGUAAGAGCAGGGAUUUGUCGUGAGAUUUUCUGUAAAAAUGAUGAAAAACUUGAAAGCAGAGUACUAAUCUGAUAAUCUUGCUAAGCGAGAGUUGCAGGUCAGCACUCUGCAUAAUUUUGGAAACAUGAUCAAUCUCACUCUUUUUGAAUUCUCAAUCUUCCUAGAUGUUUUCUGUGAAUAUUGCAAGUAUAAUAUGUAAUUAGAAUGUUAAUUGCACAUCAAGAUAUGAUAAUCAGGAAUUCAGGACAAGUAAUACCCCGGGAGGGAAUUCAUGGGCAGGACAACAAUCAGAAUUAUUAAGUUAAGUUAAGAAAGUCAAUCAAUUAUGGUGGUUACUUAUGUACCACGUUAUGGGAUUCGUUAGAAUCCAAUCAUGUUAUGAUUGUGAACUUCAGCCGUGUCGAUGUACAUUAUUAUCGCAGACGGACAUGUCAGGCCUCUGAGACCGGCUCACCUCAGAUUGUCUUUGUUAAGAAUAAAACGAACAAGAUAAAUAAUUUGUGUUACACCUUUAUGUAUUAUGUUAUGAAAUUAUGUUAUCUAAAUCAUGUUUAGAGAUUGACUAUCAGGAUCAGAGAACUAUUAGUUCGUCAGUUGCCCCGAUGUAGACACCAAUAGUAAUUGGGUAGUAGGAAUCCACUAAGACGAAGUGACUGUCUCAUCCCCCACUUAUUUGAUUUCAGAUAAACAGGUUGAUCAAGAUAUCAUGGUCUGCAAGCAUGAAGUUCAGAUACUUGGAUUAUGCUAGUUGAGCUGACGUCAUGUUAUCUUAUAUUUGUAUAAGAUUUAGUUUCUUUAUGUUUUCAGUUGUUAGCUCAAUUUAGUAUUAAUCUCUUGGAUUUUGUAAUCCUAUUUAUGUAUUCAGACAAUAUGUAAUGAAAAAUUAAUGUUUCCCGAUUCAGUUAUGUACACUCUUAUCGAUAUUCUAGAUAAAUCGAUGUGGGGUGUUAUAUCGACCUUAUGCUGUACGCUCGAUCUUGAGUCAUUAAUAGUGUAUUACUAUCAUUAUUUGGAAAAUCAUCC